GACGAACGCUGGCGGCGUGCUUAACACAUGCAAGUCGAACGAUGAAGCCAGCUUGCUGGUGGAUUAGUGGCGAACGGGUGAGUAACACGUGGGUGAUCUGCCCCAAACUUUGGGAUAAGCCUGGGAAACUGGGUCUAAUACCGAAUAUGACCGAUACUCGCAUGGGUGUUGGUGGAAAGCUCCGGCGGGUUGGGAUGGGCGCGCGGCCUAUCAGCUUGUUGGUGGGGUAAUGGCCUACCAAGGCGACGACGGGUAGCCGGCCUGAGAGGGCGACCGGCCACACUGGGACUGAGAGACGGCACAGACUCCUAUGGGAGGCAGCAGUGGGGAAUAUUGCACAAUGGGCGCAAGCCUGAUGCAGCGACGCCGCGUGAGGGAUGACGGCCUUCGGGUUGUAAACCUCUUUCACCAGGGACGAAGCGAAAGUGACGGUACCUGGAGAAGAAGCACCGGCAAACUACGUG
RNAcentral lists this ribosomal RNA (464 nucleotides) under uncultured bacterium. RNAcentral describes it as "partial 16S ribosomal RNA". It matches the Rfam family "Bacterial small subunit ribosomal RNA", at positions 28 to 507 of the family's 1533-position model. The record is from RNAcentral.